GCCCCCAGCCACCACCUGAGGGGUGCCAGGCCCCUCAGGACUGGGCUGGUCCAGAGGCAGGACACAGCGAACUCAUUGCGAGUAGGGCCAGCCCCCCAGCGCUGGACAAUGCAGGGUAAACCCCAUUUGGAACCAGGCUUGGCGCAACCCCAGCUGCAAGACAUCAACUUCUCGCCACAGGACAGGCCCACUUCCCACCCAGCUCACCACAGAGAGUACAUUUCAUGUUGUUGGUCUCAACAGGCAGCAGGGAGUCCCUGUGAUCUUGUGCCGUAACCGCCAAGGAUGCAAAGGGAUCAUGCUCCCUCGGCCAGAGCGUUGACUAGUAGCUCUCCCCUCCAUUAGGACUACUCCAUAUAAGCAACUAAGUAACCCAGACACAGAUCCACCCAACUAUUGCUUCUUUCUGCAGUCACUUACAUCUUAUGGGGCAGAAAUAACUGAGUGAACCAAAGAGCCUCUCCAAAAAGCAAAUCCUCACUACUUUUCUUGACAUAGUUUGGUUCAGUUGCAGAGGAAAAGGUCUUGCAAUGCAUUUGCUGGGAACUGGACCCACCACCCUUCUUGAUUGGUAAAAGCCACCAAUGAUUCUAUCAGCUCACUUUUGACCAAGGCCUAGAGCUGCGCAGGUGCCCAGCAGGAAAGUCAUCUGCUGCUGCACUAGAGACCGAGACCGGCCCUUGAGCAGCCAGUCAUCGAGGUGCCGUUGGAAGAAACGUUGUCUACUGAAGUGGAAGAGCAGAAUCCUGAUGAAUCUGUUGAUCCUCCAAGUGAGACAUUUUCAAUUACCAAAACCACCAUAAUGUUUUGCUUAGGGAACAAAAAUAAAUGAAAUUGUGAGCACUUCUCAAGUACAGUCAUGUAAACUUCUGAUGUACAGGUGUUUAAAACACUAUUUAAAAUCCAAUGAGGAAAGCAACACCCAAUAACAUCCCUGAGCAACAAUGGAAUUGCCAUAUUGGAUCAGAGAAGUCAGUCACCAUUAGUUCAGUAUCCUACCACUGACGGUGGCCAGUACCAGACACAGUUCCAGAGGAAGGAGCAAGAAAGACUCAAGUGGCAAUUGUGGAAUAAUCUGCCCAAACAGGAGGUUGAAAAAUUCUUCCACAACCAUUAGCAACCUGGUUGAAUGCAAAGAAACACAGGAUUGAUGGUUUGAGCAAUGCUUGGUGGAACUCUCAGGAGAAUGCAUCUCUACAUUUCCAUCCAGAUACUGCAUACUGAAACUGGCAACGAGCAUGUGGAAAAACAUAAUACACAUUUCACAUAACAGACUCUAUAGAGAGGUACUAAACUUGCAAAAAGAGAUGUCUGAGGAAUUUAACAGACUACAGGCUGAUGACCUUACUGCCACAGACUCAGUGGAAAUUUGGCUUGAUCUAGUGAAUACUGGAACCGCACAAGGACAAAUUAAAAAAAAAUAAACAAAUCAGAAACGCUCUGGAACCCUUCCUUUACUUAGCUAACAUGACACUGAUCCCAAAGAGAAAGGUCACAGGUUGAGCCCAGAAAAAGAGGGAGAGGCUCCAUGGUUGAUGGAACAUAAUUCUGAGUUAGUUCCGUCUUUUCUAGGAUUGAAAUUGAAGAUGCAUAUUUCUACCCAAAAUCUAUGUUUUCAAUGAACCUGCAUUGUGGCUUUUUUUCAUCAAUAUGAUGGAAAUAUAAUCACAGAGGACAGGAUAGUUGAAUUCAGAAUGGUGUCAAUUUUUAGAAGACCAGCAUACCUGAUGCUGUACCGCCAAAAUCAAUUGUGCAUGUUUUUAGUACAUUCACAUUGCUUUGUUCAAAACUUCUUAAAAUAAUGCUGAUGCUGAAAAAGGAUAUAAUUUGGUAAAAGUAUCCUGGUACCAGAGGACAGACAAAAUAUAGUUAGGCUUCACUAAUUAGCAAACUAGGAACUUGAUUAUGGUAUUCUUGUUGGUUUCCUAAUUUUUCAUUUUAUAACAAGGACAUCUACUUUACCGUUUGUCUAGCAUACCUGUCUGUCCACGUGACCUGGUCACUAUUAGUGCAUACCUUUGUCUCUUGUCUAUACCUCUUAAUUAUAAGUUAACAGAGUGAAAAGGACACCAUUGCAAAUUACUUCUGUGUUUUUAGUCUAAUUGCUUUGAGCACUUGACACCACUUGGUUUUAUAUAGUCUAUUACACUUCUGUCUCAUGCCCCAGCAUGGCAACAUCAUCCCAUAGAGGGAACCUAUGCCCAUGCUCUUCUGAAGGGCCUGAGAGAGAGCGUUUGCUAGUAGCAGCAAAGCCAGGGCUUUGGAGUUGUGCUCCGGAGCAAGCUCCAGGCAAAAACCUGCAACUCCACUGCUCCACACUCCCGCUCCAGGCUCCGCUCCAAAGCCCCGGAAGGAAUAGCAAGCAAGCACUUGCACUGAGUAAGGGGAAGGAGGAGAUAGGCCCACAGAUGUGAUGUUCUGCUCUUUUUAGGAUCUUUAUAAGUAUCACCUUAGGAACAGAAAAACCCUUAUUAAAAAAGAGCAAUUUUAAGAACAAGAUGUACUAUCAAAAACUUGAAUUAUUUAAAAUUAGUCAGCUGAACAGUGCCUUUUAACUCUAAAGUGUUCUGUAACAGAGUUUGUGUGAAAGAGGUUAUACAAAAUAAAGUUGCAUUAUUGACUUGGGAAUAGACAAAACAAUACAGCUCAUCUUCCUAUUCCAAGCAGCAAGCACCAAACAAUGAGCAGAUUAAUAUAUACUUUUCUAAAAGAAACCCUGAGAUCCCAGGGAAUGACAAGGAAAUAUUUAGAUUUGGAUAUUACCAGCAACUAUUUUAUAGUCUAGCCUAGACCAUUUCUCUGCUCAAAUGUAUUUAUAGUGCAUUAGAGUACAGUAUGCAGCCAGAAUCCUUAUGUGAUGACAACUGCACAGAUACACAACCUAUGUCAUGUGGAUGCCACAUAUUGAUAACGGAAUGGGGGUGGAGGCAUCCAGUCUAUUUAAUAAGUCUAACAGGCUUAGCUAUUGACAAAGGUGAAUGGGUACUUUUACAUAAAUUUUACAUUAAUGUAAAUUAACAUUAAAAAUUAAAGCAAUUUAUUUU
Molecule: long non-coding RNA, 3044 nt
Organism: Trachemys scripta elegans
Lineage: Eukaryota; Metazoa; Chordata; Testudines; Emydidae
Exons: 3
Source: RefSeq, a predicted model, not a curated record